GGAGGAAAGAAAGGGCCACAGAAAGGCUGUUAUUAAGCUAUGAUUAAACCGGUUCUUGACGGAAGUCGUGCUGUCGUUGAUGCGGGUUGGGUUGACAACAGUGACCUGGAGUGUGUCGUUUUAGGGAGUGGUUAGUCUUUGGCCUGAGCCUGCACCAAAAUGACGGAAAGGCAGAAGGCCACCGAGAACUCAAGGUUCGUAACUCAAAGUCUGUAGUAAGCUAUGGGCCCAAGGGGACGAGGAGAAAGCUUCAGCAGAACCACCCAGCUCCAUAAAGAUGGCGACUCCAGACGUGCAUGACUGCAGCACCCCAGCUGAGUUGGUGAUGAUGUCACGUGCCAUGCAUGAGUACAAAUCAUAGACCCGAGAGCUCUUUCACUUCCACCUCAGUAUGUGCCAAGCCUGCUGCUGGGUCCUCUGUUCCCUGGCCAAUGCUGGGGCAUACACAGGUGGCCAUGAUGAGUCUGUGUCCUAAAUCCUGAGCCAAGGGAUGACCCAACUGUCAACUCAACCUAUCCUUCCACACUUGGCAGGGAUAGUCUUAAGUAUGGCCGGAAGGAGAAAUCUGCAAUGAAGACCAGAAGAUCUGCAUACCUAUGCCAGAUGAACACAUUUUUUAAUUGACUUAUACUCAAAUAUUCCAAAAUUACAAGAACCUUUCAGGCUUCGGGAAGCAAGUGUCUCUACCAUGCUAAGUGUGCUCUUGUCUGAAUUUACUGAUAUUUCCUCUGAUUCAUCAGCAUUUAACAUCCAAAACCCCUUGGCUCCAGAUCAUCGCACAUCUUGACAUUUAAUGCCCUUUUAAUGUUUCUGUUCAAAACAGUAGCGACAUUUUAAGUCAUACCAUUCCUUUUUGAAAUUUCUUUCCUUAAACAUAGCUCAGCACUGUAAGUAAUAAUUUAACCUAAAAAGCAUGAGUGUAGAGGGUUCGAGGUCCCUGUGCACACAGAUACACAUGAGGGAAACCAGGCAAGUUAAACAGGCAGGCUUAUCUCUUCAGAGGAAGAAGAUGCUUACUUAUCUUCCACCUGGAAUGCUGGGAACGGUUGUCAUUUACAGCCUGGUCCUUUGCUCUCUAUGGGGCCAGGAUUCACCAGACUUCCCCAGACUCCUCCCCUGCUGUCCCUGAUAGACCACGAGCAUUGCAUCUCAGGCCAUCCUUAUGAAAGACGCCAUUUGUGCUUCAUAGAAACCUAGGUAACAUUCAUGUUAUCAUAUAUCGUCACAUUAUCAAACAGCUUUCUGUUCAUUUUUUAAAGUAUGUUUCAUUUAUCCAUUGACAAUUUUAUACGUGCACACAGCAUAUCUUAAUCAUAUCUACUCCUAUUUUUCCUCUUUGUCUCCCAAACCACCCCAACCAUGUCCCCUUUCAAUUUCCAUCUACUUCUAUAUUUUUUUUUUUUGUAGCCCACUGAGUCCAGUUAGAGCUACCUACUGGGGUGUUGACGGAUCUUGUUGACCUGGCCUUGUAUAGAGCUUGUGCAAGCAAUCAUAGCUCCAGUGAGUUCCUAAGUGCCAUGACCAUGUCGUGUGCAGAAGACAACAUCCUGUGGAAUCCCUUCCUGUCCGCUGGAUCUUAGUCUGACCCAAUGUCUCACACAAUGUCCUGGCAGAGUGAGAGGGUUGAAAUAGAUGUCUCUCCUUAGUGCUGAGCUGUCAAUGGUCAGUAAUUUACAGGACUCUGACCAGAGAUACGAAUUUCUGUGUUGUUUCCCACAGCAAAAGUGGCUCUAAUCUAAGGGCAGAAACAUUGUGUUAAGAAUAUGCAUAGAGGACUCCAUGAAUGCAAACUCUGAAGGGAGUAAUCCCGAUGAUGCUGGUUAGGUUAAACCUAAGUAGUGAAUAUAUGACCUUUCAUUGCAUUUCAUUUUGAUUUGAAGUUUCCAGUUUUUGAAACAUUUAACUCAAAAGAGAAAGUGAAGAUUGCAUGAACAUACUUUUCUAUAUUAAUUUUUGCAUAAAUGCAUCUAGUUGUCUAGUUGGAUUUACUGAUUAUGAUGUUGUAAGUAAAUGUUUCCUAUUGCUCAAAAGUCUUACAAUUUGAUGAAGACUUAAAUUGUGGUUAAAGCCAGUAGAUGUUAUUUGUCAGAGAAUGCAGACCUUCAAAAGCCAGGGAAAUAUAAGCAUUUUUAUGAAAAGGAAAUUAUUCUGAAAAAAAAAACCUGAUGAAAUAUUAAAGUAUAUCCUGCCCUGCCAAACGCAUAAAUGCGUUUAAAAGUAUCUAAAAGUGCUACUUAAUAUAUGAUGUGAUUAUCUGAUAAGAGAUGAGACAAGAGUUAAUGAAUUAUGCCUAAGGAGAAGCGGCACAAUAGUGUUAUUUAAGAAACUGCAUUCUGUCACUGUAUCCCAUGAUAUUGAGGAGCAGUGCAGAGUCCUAAGAAUUGGUUAUCCUUCCAGAGGUGAAGUCACAGGUUAGGAGGAUAAGAAGGAGAGAUCGAGACUCUAAAGACAGUCGGGUAAAGUCCGGUGUUCACACAGCUAGUGUAUCCUGGCAGGCUGGGGUGGAAUGGCUGCUCUCACAGGCGUCUCCUGCUCCUUAAACUGCAGACUUCACUUUGCUAUUUAGCUCUGGUACCCAACUGUCCCAGAACGGCACCUUCCAACUGCUGCUGCUCCUGAUUUUCAGGAGUGCCCUUGCCUUUUCUCCAAGGCUAAGCGAACUGGUUUGUGUAGGAUUGCCAGCUCAGUGGAUUUUAGCACUAACGAUUAUAGGCUUUAGUACCGAGACUUUGAUCAUUGAGCCACUCAAUCAUCCUUUUCCUGCCAGCUCCUGAGAAGAGGACCAUUCAGCAUUUGUUUCUGUCUCCGUCCUCCUGCUCCACUCUCGUGUUGUUACGAAACUCAUCCCAUUGGCUAAGGCAGGGCAUGUCCCACACUCUACUGGAUCUAAA
Long non-coding RNA from Alexandromys fortis (reed vole), 2891 nucleotides. RefSeq lists it as uncharacterized. Lineage: Eukaryota; Metazoa; Chordata; Mammalia; Rodentia; Cricetidae. The record is from RefSeq and is a predicted model, not a curated record. The transcript has 3 exons.